GUGUCCCCCCCCCUUAAUUUUCCCUUCUACACGGUUCUGUUUCUGUUUCUCUUUCUUUUAUUUACGUCUCACCAUGUUUAGUGCAUCUAAAAUUAUGUACUUUUUAAAGAUGUAAAGAUGAGAGAGAGAGAGAGAGAGAGAGAGAGAGAGAGUUAGUUAAAUGCACAUAAACCGCAGGCUUACUGCCCUGAGCUAAUUCAUGACUUGGAACAGUCUCCCUCGGGAGGUUGUGGACUCUCCUUCCUUGGAGGUUUUUAAGCAGAGGUUGGAUGGACAUCUGUCAUGGAUACUUCAGCUGAGAAUCUUGCAUUGCAGGGGGUUGGACGAAAUGCCCCUUGGGAUCCCUUCCAACUCAACAAUUCUUUGAUUCGAUGACUUGGCUGAGCAUGUUGUCCGAACCACGGCACAUGGUUUAGCUCUUCUGAUGCAAGCAGUAAACCAAGAACAAACCUUGGCUAUAGCUUGUUAAUCUCGAGAGAACUAAACCACAACCCCGCAUUCAGAUGGCAUGGCUUAGCUUAGCUUUGUGCAGCAGCAGAAUGGCUGGGUAGGAGAAAAUAGCUGCAGUCUCCUCCCUGGGAGCCUGUGUACUCACGCUAGGCCAAAUUUUGCCUUAGUGUGACAUGUGAACCAAGCCAAUGCUAAACCAGGGUUUGGGGGCACAGUACAGUGGCUUUAUAAAUUACAUUAUGCAUGCCCCGAUUCUCCAAGCGGUGAGAACUCCAGUGGUAUAGUUUGUACCCAGGUUCCUGAAGGAGCCUCUCCACACCCUUCAUUCACUGAAGUCCAGCUCUGAGGGCCUCCUGGCGUUUCCCUCACUGUGAGAAGUGAGGUUACAGGGAACCAGGCAGAGGGCCUUCUUGGUGGUGGCGCCCGCCCUGUGGAACACCCUCCCAUCAGAUGUCAAGGAAAUAAACUAUCUGACUUUAGAAGACAUCUGAAGGCAACCCUGUUUAGGGAAGUUUUUUAUGUUUGAUAUUUUAUUAUGUUUUUAAUAUUCUGUUGGGAGCUUCCCAGAGUGGCUAGAGAAACCCAACCAGAUGGAUGGGGUAUAAAUAAUAAAUAAUUCUUCUUCUUCUUCUUCUUCUUCUUCUUCUUCUUCUUCUUCUUCUUCCUCCUCUUCUUCCUCUUUCUUUCAAUGAGGUCACUGGGUCUGUGUGUAUCUCUGCCUCACUCAGUCUGUUCUUCUUUGUGACACGCAUAAAGACACCUAGAUUACAUCACCACCACCUACAAGACAGAGCAAGAAGACAGGGGAAAGUGCCUUUAGCAAUUUGAUGAGCAACAUAUUGUCUCCAGGUUCCCUAACUGUCGUAGUCCUGUGCUGCCAGCCAUGGCAGAGCUCAGUGGAGGGAGAAGCCAGCCAACCAGUCGAGUCUCAGGGGGGUUCUUGCCUGGAGGCAGAGUCCGUAUGCAAGGUCCAGUCCUAAGGUCAGGAGUAUCUCAGUUCACAUAGUCAGAUGAUCCAGGGGUCAGGAAAGCCAAGGGUUCAAGGCCACGAGAAGCAAGAAGCAGCGAGGUCUGGCCAGGAACGCCAAAUGUUGUUCGAUUACGAUUACGAUAUCUUUAUUGUUCCUAGCAACUGAUGGAGGCUGAAAACCCUGAUUAAGAAUGGCUGCUCACCAGGUCCACUGGUGGGCUACAUUUGGGGCAUGGCACGCGGCUUCUCCGUCCUCUUGAGGCCACGCAGUUCUUCCGGCUGUUGCUCUGCUCUCCUGGCCACUGCGGUGCCUCACGGGUUCCUGCCAAACACGAUUCAAAUUCCAGCCUAUCCAUGGCGCCUGGCGGGCGGGACAACAGGAGCAAACCAUGUUGGAGCAGGCUUUGUUCCGGUCUGCUCCAGAGAUACAAAAGGGAGCUAAAGCCAGCAGUUCAGUCAGCUCCAGGGUGACUUAAGAAAGCUAGAGCCAUUUACGGCAUGUUGUACACUGAAGGAAAAUUAUAUGAAAAUGAUGUACCGGUGGUAUUUGACUCCUAGUAAGUUAACUCCUAGUAAGUUGACUCCUAGUAAGUUAGAGGGACACGGGUGGCGCUGUGGGUUAAACCACAGAGCCUAGGGCUUGCCGAUCAGAAGGUCGGUGGUUCGAAUCCCCGCGAUGGGGUGAGCUCCCGUUGCUCUGUCCCUGCUCCUGCCAACCUAGCAGUUCGAAAGCAUGUCAAAGUGCAAGUAGAUAAAUAGGUACCGCUCCAGCAGGAAGGUAAACGGCAUUUCCAUGCGAUGCUCUGGUUCGCCAGAAGCUGUACGCCGGCUCCCUCGGCCCAUAAAGUGAGAUGAGCGCCGCAACCCCAGAGUCGGUCACUACUGGACCUAAUGGUCAGGGGUCCCUUUACCUUUACCUUUAAGUUAGCAAAAGUGUAUAGAACAAGUACAAAUACCUGCUGGAAAUGUAAAGAGAAAGAAGGUACCUUUUAUCAUAUGUGGUGGUCGUGUAAGGAAAUAAGAGCUUUCUGGGAGAUGAUAUAUAAUGAAAUAAAAAAAUGUUUAAAAUUACUUUUGCUUUAACACUUAUCUAAUGAGACAAGGUUCAACAAGCAAAAUUUGGUUGUGCCUAGAAUAAAUCCGUAAAUAGAAAAAAUGUUUCCUUAUACCAAGAUGAGGACAUGAAUUGAAAUACAGGAAAAACCGUAUCAGAUAGAAUGAAUUGUGGUGAGGUAAAUGGAAGUCGAAAAUAAAUAGAAUAAGUAAAGAGAUCUAUUCCAAAAGGGGAAAUAUUUUGUUUGAGAAUUGAUGUUUUGGGAUAGUAUUGCAUAGUUAAUUUCACUUCAUUUUUGUUCAUGGUUUUGUUUUUCCUUUUUUCCCUUGCUGUUUUUGUUUUUUGCUUUUUGCUUUGUUUUCUGUAGAUUUAUGUUGAGUCUUGUUUGUAUUUGCACAAAACUCAAUAAAAAAAUUAAUUUAAAAAAGUAAAAUAAGUUUAAAAUAUUUUUUGUUAAAAAACCAAAAGCUUUUUUAUUAGGAAUUAUAGGUACUGAAAUUCCAAAGGAGCUGAAAAGACUUUAUGUGUGCGACAACAGCAGCAUGGAUGCUAUUAGCCCAGAAAUGGAAAGAAGAAAGAGUCCCUGCCAGAGUGGAAUGGCAAACCAAGCUGUGGGACUAUGCAAAACUGACUGGAAAGCUCAAGAACCAAGAAGACCAAAAAAAAAAAAAAGAAAGAAAGAAAGAAAAGAAAAAAGAAUGGGGAAAUUUACAAUUUAUUUAGGAGACCACUAUAAGCAGAUGAAAACAUUAGCAGGAUUUUAAUAAUUCUUGUAAUGUAACAGGUACUAUGGACAAUAUGGACAGAUUUAAAAUAUGGACUAUGAAAUGAUAUGCAGUUGGAAAUGUUGAAAACAGGACCCAGGGAGGGGGUGGGGGAAGUCGCGAGAUUCAGAGAAAUUGCCUUUUAUGGUUAUGCAUUUGGCAUUGUAAUUAAUUUGCAUUUGUAAAAUCAAAUAAAAAGGAUUUCAAAAGAAAGCUGGAACCAGUUGGUUCACACCAGGAGCAAGAAGGCUGAUCAGCAGCAGGUGGAGUCACUUCGCCUUCUGCUCCUUCACGCUGCUGCUCAGCAGGUGAAUCUGACUCCUGACCCAUGACACGAACACACGGGACACUUAACUACAGUGGUACUUCAGUUUACGAACUUAAUCCGUUCUGGAAGUCCGUUCUUAAACCGAAACCAUUCUUAAACUGAGGCGCUCUUUACCUAAUGAGGCCUCCUGCCGCCAGUGCCCUUCCACCGUUUGGAUUCUGUUCUUAGACUGAGGUAAAGUUCGCAAACUGGGACACUACUUCCGGUUUUGUGGAGUUUGUAAACCAAAUCAUUUUUAAACCGGACUGUUCUUAAACCGAGGUACCACUGUAGAUUGAAGGAGAAUGUGGUUUAAAAUGCACCAACCUAAUUCACACCUCCCAGGUGGUUACAUAGAAAGGACUAUAAUUAUGCUUUGGAUUUCACACUUCUUAAAAAACAAACAAAUACAUUGUACAGUGGCAAAUAGUCAAACCUCUCCAACAACUCUAUACUGCAUUACACUACCAUAUACAGUAUUAUUAUUAAGAACUCUCUUAGGAGCGUACAGCAGCUAAAUAAAAAUAAAGUGUAUAAAUAUGUGAUAAAGCCAUUAACACAGAAGUGAACUACGUCAUACUGAGGCAGAUUACGGCGGAGCUGUUUCUGCAUAUUUGGAAGGUGAGUCAAAAUGAGCCGUUGACGAAAGCAGUCACCGUUCUCUGGUUCCCUUGAAUGUCUCAAUUGCGGUGUCAACAACUCAUCUGAGACUGAAAUGUGUUUGUGUGUGUGUGUGUGUGUGUUGGUGUCAAGUCUGACAUCAACAGUGAGGCAGUUUGCUUUCUUUUUCCUGCUCAGUGCUUCGACUGACGAGAACAUCAAAGAUUUAAAGAAACACACAAGUCAAUUUAUUAUUAAUUUUUGAAGCUUGUUGCAUCUCAAGCAUCUCAGUGGUCUUCUUCCACUGUCCCUUCUUAGCUGAAGCUCUAGCAGAGUAAAUUCUGGAUAAACUAAAUAUUUUGGACAUUAGAGGUAUUUAAGAAAUGGCACUGAAGCUAUGUCUUCCAGGAUGCCACAAUCUUUGUUGUUUAAUAACGAUUCAUGCAAUUCCAAAUAGGACCCUGAGCAGCAGUGAAGCAGAUGAUGUUCUGUAGUUUGCGGUCCGAUCAAAGGGUUGAGCAUGUUCCAGGAAGAUUUCAACUAGCAGUGAGAACUGAUAAAGUAUCUGUUAUCAGCCAGACAAGAACUGGAGAGAGAAGUGUCUGCUGUGUCUGAUCUAAUGGACAAAUUUUUGACUGCAAACUCUUCAAAAACUCAACUGCUGCAGAUGCCAUUUUUACAGUACCAUAUGCACUGAUAGGCUGAUAAACAGCAACAACAGCAAACACCUGAAGUCGCAGAGCUAUGAUGGGAGUAGCAUACAAAUCCCUGCCCUUCACUUCAAGUUAUGGCCAAAUGGAAAUCAAAAGAAACAAGCUAUUCCUCUCCAAAGUCUUCAGAGCUUCUUGCCCAUUCCCAUUUAAUCAGCUUCUUGGAGACCACAUAUUGUCCCACCCCAGGCUGGGUUCUCCUGGAACAUAGGACCUACAGGACACACAAAUGAGCAUUUCCCCCCAAGGUUACUAAUGUCCCGGGAGUGGCAUUUUUAAACAAGUUAUUUUGCCACUUCAUCAGUGUCUGACAAACUUCAAUCAUAUCUGGGGCAAAGUCAUUAGAUGAGGUCACUUUUUAGGAUGCUGAAUAAACAGAGAGAGAGAGAGAGAGAGAGAGAGAGAGAAUGCAAUCCUGUUUCAAAGGAGCUAUUUAUCUUUAAAAGCUAAUAAAGCAAAACAAAACAUGAGUUCGACAUCUAUGGAAGAACCAAGGAUGCAGUCCAAAGAUCAAAACUUACUCAGUUAAUCGGAAAGUCCAUCUUUAACAAUGGCAGAUACCCUCACAAAUAUCUCUAAACCUCCUCGUUUGUACUAUUAUUAAAACACAGAACACUUCCUAAAUCAAAAGAGCAGCUUAGGUGGCAGAGAUAACUGGAACACUUAUUCAGAUGGCAAUCCUGUCCUCACUUACCUGGGAGUAAGUCCCACUGAACCUAAUGGGAUUACGUUUGAGUAGGCACACACAGGAGCAGACUGUUAAUGGUUUAUAUGUCUCCAAAAUUUAAGAGCAACGGCCGGAGAUCAUUCCGAGCUGAGAUGCUAUGCCAUUUGCAGAUGUCGUCAAAGCUCUAUUACAUAAAACUCCUCGUUAUCCAAAUUUGCUCUAUCCACCAUUUAGCUCAAUGUCACCUUUUGUAAACAGUUUCCUUUUCCAAGCACCUGAUUACUGAAAUGUUUUGGACAUCUUCCAGACCAAAUGAGACACCGCCGCACGACCUCACUACUAACUAAAGCUCUUGGCAUGGUUUAAGCCUACGGUAGCCAAAACAAACUACAUCCCAAGCAAAAUAUUGUUGUCAGCUUUAAAGCAUGGAAAAUCAAAAUCUUUCCACCCAUCUCUGUGCUUCCAAAUACUUUGGCAAACGAAUUGGAAAUAUGGAUGAGCCUCUUCAAAAAGAGGGAUCAAACAAAUUCAUGCUAAAAGGCCCAUGUAAGAGGAAACAUCUAACAGGGCACGGCUGCAGUGAAUAAUAAAAAAACCAAGUCAUUACAUCAGUAAUUACAACCGCAGCUUCAUGCCCGGUCAUACGAGGUCAUGUGUUAUAAGGACAGAAAGAAAUGAGGAUUAAAAUUACUUUUGCAACAAUUACCUUCAGAGGAGAGGUGCUUGUAUUCCAUGGGACCCUAAAGCAAAUAUGAGCUUUAGUAAAGGAAGUAAGCAGUGCCAGACAUUGACACUUGCAAACAUUAAGAUGCUCUGGAGGAAAAGAUGUAGCUAUGAGCUCCAGCCCCAUUGGUAAGGCUUCACACUUAACAUCAUUGGCUUUGCAUAAGUCAGAAAUAGCACCAGGAGUGUGUGUUGCUUUUGCCUUCUACAAAAGCCCCCCACAAAAAUAAAUCCAGCCCUUCCCUUCAGUCCUCUGGAUCUUGUGGCUGUAACCAUGCAAUAAUGAAUGGAAUCAGUUCAGGGUCAAGCCAACUUGACGUUCUAACCUAGGGAUGAGAAACCUGGGCUGCUCCAGGUAUGUUGUUCCCCCUCCGCCCGCAAACUCAGAGGUAUUUAUUUAUACUUUUCAAGUUUUUGCAUUUCACUACUUUCAUACAUUUCACUAAUUUUACAUUCAUUUUGACAUUUCAAAAUGUGACUUCCAUUCCCCCCCUUUCUGCGGUUCCUUAAAUUUGCUUUUAAUAUCUUCCACAUAUCCAGAUUAACUUAAUUUGCUAGUUUAUUCAUCUUCUUUAAAUAUAUACUCAUAUAAAACUGCAGGUUGUUACAAUACAGUGGUAUCUCGGGUUAAGUACUUAAUUCGUUCCGGAGGUCCGUUCUUAACCUGAAACUGUUCUUAACCUGAAGCACUACUUUAGCUAAUGGGGCCUCCCGCUGCUGCCGCGCUGCCGCUGCGCGAUUUCUGUUCUCAUCCUGAAUCAAAGUUCUUAAACCGAGGUACUAUUUCUGGGUUAGUGGAGUCUGUAACCUGAAGCGUCUGUAACCUGAAGCGUCUGUAACCUGAGGUACCACUGUAAGCCUGUCAAUGUUUUUAUCUGUUUAUAAUUUAUCUGUAAAUAUUCAAUAAACCAUUUUCAUUCUUUUAUAUAUAUAUAUAUUUUAUCUUGAUUUCUUAUUUUUCCGGUAAGUUUCACCAUUUCUGAAUAUUCCAUAAGCUUUUGUAUCCAUUCUUCCUUUGCUGGGAGUUCUACUUCUUUCCAUUUUGGGGCAAGUAACAUUCUUGCCUCUGUAGAAGCAUACAUGAAUAAGUUUCUAUACAGUUUAGGUAGCUCUGUCCCUAUAAUUCCCAAAAGAAAAGCUUUCUGGGGUUUUUUUUUACAAAGGUUUUUUAAACAUCCUUCUCAUUUCAUUAUAUAUCAUUUCCCAGUAAGCUUUAACCUUACUACAAGACCACCACAUAUGAUAAAAAGAACCUUCAUUCUCAUUAUAUUUCCAACACUUAUUUGAUUUUGAUUUAUACAUUUUUGCUAACUUACUCGGUGUUAGAUACCAUCGAUAUAUCAUCUUUAUAUAAUUUUCUAUUAGACCAUAACAUGCUGUAAAGUGCUCCAGGUAUGGUUGGUCUCCACCUCCCAUCUGCCCCAACCAGCAUGGCUGAUGAUUAGGAAUGAUGGGAGUUGUAGUCAUCUGGAGGGCCACACAUAGCCUAUCCCUAUUCCCACCCGUGCAAUGAAUUAGGGUUGGAUGCCGUAUCAAAGUCACUGAGAAGUCUCAACAGUGUGGGAAUGUUGUGGAUAGUAGGAGAGGAUAUAUUGAUUAAACAUUAUCCUUCCUUACUCAUGCUAGUGAGCUAAUAGCAGAGCACAUUCCCUUGUAAAUAGCAGGAAGCUGGUUGAUAGAUUCAUUAGAACCAUUUGAGUUAAGCAAUCCAGUCUGGCUUGUCCAGAUUGGAUUAUUCCUGGUAAAUCCCCUUUAGUUCCCUCUUAAAAACAAGAAUGACGCAACAGUCUUCUUUUAAAAGUAAUGAUAAGGUUUACUUACAUUCAGUUCACAGCAUGGUCCUGAAGGCAGGCUUUAGCUUGUAGUUACAGUUACAGAGAAAAGCGUGGAUUCAUCCUCUGUGAGGGAUGGGCUCCAUGUCUGCUGGCUGAGAGCCAGCAGACAGCAAAAGGCAAGAUGGAAUAAGGGGGAAAGAGGAAGAUGGCUGCGUGACCAGCUCUUUUAUAGGAUCUACCAGGGUCAUGCCCAUCUACCUGGUCACAUGCAGGGAGAGGAAGCUCCAGAUCAGGUGUGACAGGAAGUCCUCCUGGCUGGAGCAACAUCCCCCUGUGUGUCCACUCUGGGCAAACAGGAAAUGUUGUAUUUGACUGCUUCAGUGAUGUUACAUCCCAUAAACAGGAAGGAUCUCUCAGGUGCAACAUUGCGGCAAAGAGGCUGCACUCUUGGUGCGAUUGGCCGGGAAAAACAGAUUCCCUGAGGAUAAGGGAUGUGGGUUCAAGGCGUUCCUGCGGUGAACAGCUCGGUUCAUGUCAGCAGUUCCAGUGCACAUCCUGCCAAGUUCGUAGGAGGAAUUGCCACCCGUUCCUGAGUGGACACACUGCAAGGACCGGAGAAAAAGCAACGGCCGUGCAGAAAGAAGGUACCUCGAGAAACAAAGUAGGCUCCACAGGGUAUAGGUGGGAGCAAGCUCCACAGGCUGUAGGUGGGAGCAAACAAACAGGGCCUGAUCAGCCCGACCAGUAGGGUAGAAAAAGUGCCACUGGUUUUGGUGUCGCCCAGAAAAAGCAGUAAAGGGUCUGCUGGGCCCUGGUCGAAGUCUAAGCGCUGCCGGUUGUGGUUUUGGUUUUGGUAAAAAGGGGAUUGAGGGAGGUGCAUGGGUUUUUCUGAAUGUGCGUGUGGGGACACUCCAGUGAAUGUUUUGAGUGUGUGAGACGUUGAAAGCAACGUGUGGUCUGUGACUGAGUGAGAGAAAUGACAUUAGGAGAAGGGAGUGUCCCAGUAUCCCAAGUGUUCCAGGGUCCCAGGGUCAUGGAGAAAGAGCAGUAAAACAACUCCCACGACCCCCCUGCGAUGUUUCCUGGGGGGGGGGGGAAUUGGAAAGAUGCCACAAAGGGAGAAGAUUGGGGAUUUUAAAAAACUGAAGAAAAAUAGACUCCAAACACUUAUGUGAAGUUCCUAACCGUUCCCCCAUGGCUUAGGAAAAGCAAAACUGUGAUUAGCCCAAGCCAAAACUGUGCCCAGUAUGGCAGCAAGUACAAGUUAGAAAAAAACAGCAGUCUUGCCAGACCCAGAAGAAGAAGGAGGAAUAAUUAGCCCCCCUCCACCCUAUGCAGCAACUGCACCAGGGCUAAAUGAGGUUCCCCCUACCCAACCCCCAAAAGCAAAGAGACUGAGGAAGAAAGACAAGAGGAAGUUGAGAAUGGUGAAACUCAGAAGGAAUCAGGUGAAAUGGACAAGCAGACAGUCCAAAAGAGUAUUUCAGUAUGUGAAUUGGCAGAAAGAAAAGAGCAGAAGAUUUUAAAGAGCAACGUGAGAUAGAGCCAGCAAGCAAUCCAAAAGAGUGAGCUGGAUGUGGCUUCUUGAGUUCUAGGAGCAGCACAAUGCAAGGAUGUGAAUUGACAGACAGAAAGAAACAGAGCAGAAGGCUUUGAGAGCCGCAUAGGACAGAACUGUUUUAAAAAAAGAGAGAUAGACAAUUAAACCCGAGGGCACAGCCCUAGGAUUACAAUACUGACCAUUGAGGAAAUCCGCAAGAUAAAUGCCCUCAGGGCAGCGGACAAUACUGAUGUUGCAAUUGAGGCAGCUAAAAGUUGCAAUUGAGGCAGCUAAAACUCCACUUUGAUGGCCCCACCCCACCGACUGUACGGCCCCCUGGAGUCAUCCGACGCCCAGGACCACAGACCUCCAAGCCCCCUAAAUCAGAAUCCUUCUUUCGAAGAGGACCCAGCCAAAAUAAUUAGGGGUUUGUCUUCAAGCAGCCAGCAGCCAAAAAUGUAAUCCCGGAGGGUGUCCACGGGAGGGGCAGAAGAUGCCUAGGGAAGAAGCCAGUGCGCCAUCUGCAGGCAAGAGGGUCAUUGGGCAAUGGAAUGCCCACAGGCCCCACGCCCGACACACCCCACCCCCACAGGCUGGGAACAAUCAGAUUUCUCAAAAAUGAUUUCUUCUCAUCUCUGUUCUUGCUAAAAGACUGUUGCAGCUAGAAGCAAGUGAAGUAACUGUUUCUAACAUUCAUUCAUGCAAGUAACAGGACAUCAGCUUUUCCCCCCCUUGUGCCAGGCGCUUGGAGUAGCUUAUCUCUUGGCAGCUAUCUCAGAAGGACACUGCUGCAUUCAGCCAGCUACUCUGACCUGCUACUACCUGGAGCCAAUUUGGAUUUACAGUCAAGCGACAAAAAAAACCCAGAAGGCCAAGGGUUGCCCACUCCCUGUACUAACCUGGAAAGUGACUUUCUUAAAAAAGCAAGUGAAUGCUUUCUGUGAACUUUGUCCAAAAAAAAAAUCAUUUUUAAGGUGCAAUUUUACUCUGAAAAAGGAGCCGCAGCAUAACAUAGGAAUUGAUACUUUGAGGAAUUUGAUACUUUGCCAGAAGCCAGGGAACACAGUGCCCCUCCUGCUUAACACUGGCAGACUUUGGCAAAUGAACUGAAAUUUGCAACAUGGCUCUGAAGAAAAUAGUGCGCAGAGACAAAGACUUUUAAAAAUCUCAGCUGGCAAAAACUUAACCCAAGGAACAGGACUGUUAACCCCUUGCGAAGUUUCCUGCCAAGCAUACCCUUUUGAGUUAAUACGCCUUGUGUGUGAAUGUUAUCUAUCAAUGCACAGUCGCUGCCGUGUCUGUUUUUCUCUUCUCUUGACAGGUAAACCGGCCAGAGACUGUCCUGUUUCUCUACAGCUGUUGGAUGUCACCGGCAUCUGUGACACCUGAUCUACACCGGCCCCUUCGACUCACCCCAGACUCUCCAGCCUUGUUGGAAGAGACCCAAGAUGUCCAACGCCCACCAGACGCCCCGACGCCCGUGAGAUGACCACCCUGCCUUCCUGCAUCACACUGACGCUUUGCACGGCUCAAGAAUCCAGCAUGGAUUGAAAGAGGACAUUUUCUCAUUUUAUUUCUUUCCUUUUGCAUAAUUGAACUUUAUAGAAGGUUGAGGGCCCCUGGAUAGCCUUACAACACCCCUGCAGAGGAGGGUAUUUGUGUGGGAUGUUCAAUCAGGGAAAUGAUGCCCCGGCCUCCUUUCAUUGUCUUGCCACCUGGCAGAGCUCCACCCAGAGCCUCCAGAACUUAACUAAAGCCCCCUUUGAACCACAGUACCAACUUGGUAAUAACCCUGUGCACGAAUGGCACAGAUUAGCACCGUCUGCACUUUGGCACCUGUAGAUGCUCUGAGGGGACUGCCGCUCCUUCCUGUGCCUUGGAAUGAAUCAUCAGUUACAGCCUCGAUCAUUCCAUCACCGAAUUACUGGCUGGCUUUGUGUCAAUAAAUCAAAGAGCGCCAGUGACAAUCUGACAUGUACGUUCCCAGCCCAAACCGUUACACCUGAGUCCACGCUAGGAACUUUUCUGGCUGCAAUGUGGGCUUCAGAAGGGGGGGGGGGGGUAUCUGCACGCAUGCUUCGCCCCCAGAUUAUAGCGCUGGCCCAAGUAUACCAGCCUGUGCCUUCCUGGGACGAGCCUUUUUGAGAAAAAGGCUGUCCAAAGAUUAAGAGGGGGGAAUGUAGGAGGUGAGAACAGGUGACCCCACCUAGGCCCGAAGUCACCCCCUCCAAAGCAGGCUCAAAGCUUCUCAAAGCUUUUCAAAAUCAUUUUCUCAGCAGCUAAGCAUCAGAAACAUUCUGCUCUGCUGUAACAAAAGGUAGAGAACAGUCCAUUGUUUCUCAGGCCUUUCUCAUGCCUUCUGGCCUUGCUAAAGAACCACAUUGCAACUUACUUUCUGUCUGGGAACCAUGCCAGAACAAGAGAUUGAAACAUAUCUGAACACUCUGAAACCCCUUUCCUGGGAAGGGCACCAAGAGUCCAAUAGUCCCAAGACAGCUUUCUGUUCAUGUUCAGAGGAACUCAUGGGGCAGGACUCUGGAAGGAGGAGAAAGGAGGAGGGAACUAGAAAGGGGUAUAUAUGCUUGUGCACAUGACUGUGAACUUCGUGCAUGCUUUUGUGGACUAUCACACUUGCUCCUUCUACCAGUUCAUGGGUGAUAGAAAUAAAACCUUUUUCUCCGAAACUAUUCCUUGAGUGUCUGUUGACUCCCACUUCCCUUUCCCGGGCGCAAUAUUUUUUCCCACCCGAGGGCAAAGCCUCAUAAGGCUACAGCACGAUGAACGAAACUGAAUUUUGCGUUUGUCAUGAUGCAGCACACAUGAUGGCAUGCUAACUCUCAGGCUCAACUUCUCAUCUGUUGUGACCCAGGAUUAUUUUCCAGUUGACAAUUGUAGCUGAAGAAGUUAAGCUCACUAUAUAAAUGUUAUUAAUUUUUGUGGUUAUGGCUGUUGCUGUUGUUUUAAUUCCCUUUCCAGAUACAGAUAAUUCCAUCAGAACGACC
RNAcentral lists this long non-coding RNA (12562 nucleotides) under Podarcis lilfordi (Lilford's wall lizard). Lineage: Eukaryota; Metazoa; Chordata; Lepidosauria; Squamata; Lacertidae. The record is from RNAcentral.